Molecule: ribosomal RNA, 117 nt
Filed under: candidate division WWE3 bacterium CG08_land_8_20_14_0_20_41_15
Lineage: Bacteria; candidate division WWE3
Description: partial 23S ribosomal RNA
Rfam family: Bacterial large subunit ribosomal RNA
Source: RNAcentral
CAUCACAUCCUGGGGGUGAAGCAGCUCCCAAGGGUAUGGCUGUUCGCCAUUUAAAGUGAUACGCGAGCUGGGUUCAAACCGUCGUGAGACAGGUUGGUCCCUAUCUACCGCAAGCGA